Molecule: long non-coding RNA, 891 nt
Organism: Malus domestica (apple)
Lineage: Eukaryota; Viridiplantae; Streptophyta; Magnoliopsida; Rosales; Rosaceae
Source: RefSeq, a predicted model, not a curated record
AUCACGAAUCAACCAAUCUCCUCCACCUUUUCCUUCCUGCUGCAGUGCUCCAUUUUCGAAAGCCUUCCUCCUCUUUCAACGAGAUUCUUCAAUCAAACAAAACCACCGCCAACUCUGUAAAUUGCUUUUCCACCUGUACCCAAAUUCGACGACUAGCUCACACGCGAGAACCGCGACGCGCCACCAGUCCAUCCUUGCAUUUUCCAAAACCCUCUAUACGGAAGGGUUCCAAAGAUUGAAAAAAUUAUGGGUUCUUGAAGGAUUGGAGUGAGUGAAUCUUCCCCUCUGCCUCUUCGCCUCAUCUGGCAAAACAUCGUCCCCUUUAGCUCUGUUGCUCACAAUUAACAGAAAAAUAUUCGAAACCUAAAACCCUCAAAUCAGCAAAGCGAAUUCCCACACUUAAACCUCGAAACCAACAAAUCGAUUUCAAGUGUUAAGCGGCUAGGUUCUAGGUCUUCUAAUUCUGGCGAGCUGUUUUCGUACGAACGCCGGCAAACCGUACUAUGUCGUCGUCUUGCCUUCGUCUUUCAGUUUCGAAAUUCCAAUUUAAGCGGUCGAUGAAAGCAGAGUGGGUAAGAUCAGUUGCUCUGCAGCCUCACCCUCCAAACGCUACCCCAUCACUUUGCUUCUCGGCGAUGGCAUUGGUCUCAACCUCGCCCCCUCCAUCGAUGGUUUCUUUUAAUUCUGCUUCCGUUUUCUUCCUUUUCUCAAUUUUAUUUCCAUUUUACCUGUUUGGUUCCUGAGAAACGGUGGGAAAAUUAAAAGGAAAAGUCUUUAAUUUUCCCAUAUUUUCUUUGGGUUAAUGUUUAACAUUUUGAGCUGCUCUGUGUGUUGUAUAAUCGAGUAAUUUUGUUGGGAUUAGUAAUUAUAUAACAUUUGGAUAUUUGGAUU